Pelobates cultripes (western spadefoot toad) is the source of this 1384-nucleotide non-coding RNA. Lineage: Eukaryota; Metazoa; Chordata; Amphibia; Anura; Pelobatidae. The record is from the annotation of a GenBank genome assembly.
CAGCUGUUGGGAUGGCUAUAGCUAAUCUAGUACAGGGGUGGAACUGCAACUCCCAUGACACUUUGCUUAGCUUCGUAGGAGUUGUAAUUCUAGAAGGGGUCAGCCAGACAGCUUAAAGCACACACAAUAUAUAUUACUAUACUGACACACACACACUCCUUCUCACACACACAUACACUGUUACACACACAGUCUCUUACACUAUUUCACACACAGACUGUCUCUCUCUCACAAUCUCAUACACACACACACACACACUGUUACACACACUGUCUCUUACACUAUUUCACGUACAGACAGACUCUCUCUCACAAUCUCUCACACACACACUGUCUCUUACACUAUUUCACACACACAGACUGUCUCUCUCUCACAAUUUCACACACACACACACACACAUACACACACAAACACAGUCACACACUGUCACUUACACUAUUUCACACAAAGACUCUCUCUCACAAUCUCUCUCUCACACACACACACACACACACACUGUCACAAACUGUUACACACACUGUCUCUUACACUAUUUCACACACACAGACUGUCUUUCUCUCACAAUCUCACACACACUGUCACAAACUGUUACACACACUGUCUCUUACACUAUUUCACACACAGACUGUCUCUCUCUCUCACAAUCUCACACACACACAUUCCCACACACACUGUCACAGACAAUCACACACUGUUACACACAUUGUCUCUUACACCAUUAUACACACAGACUGUCUCUCUCUCUCACACACACAUACACACUGUCACACACUGUUACACACAUUGUCUCUUACACUAUUUUACACACAGACUGUCUCUCUCUCUCACACACACACAUGCAUUCUCACACACUGUCUCACUCACACACAGACUGUCUCUCUCGCACACUGGUACACAAGGACUCUCACACAUUGUCACUCACACAGGCUGUCUCACACUCAGGCUGUCUCUCUCACUCAGGCUGGCUGUUUCACACUCAGGCUGUCUCUCACACACACUGUCACUCAGGCUGUCUCUCACAUUCAGGCUGUCUCUCACUCAGGUUGUCUCUCACACACACACACACUGUCUCUCAGGCUGUCUCUCACACACUCAGGCUGUCUCUCACACAGGCUGUCUCUCACACACACUGUCUCUCAGGCUGUCUCUCACACACUCAGGCUGUCUCACACACUCAGGCUGUCUCUCACACUCAGGCUGGCUGUCUCUCUCAGGCUGUCUCUCUCACACUCAGGCUGUUUCUUACACACUCAGGCUGUCUCUCACACACUCAGGCUGUCUCUCACUCAGGCAGUGUCACACACACUGUCUCUCUCAGGCUGGCUGUCUCUCACACAGGCUGUCUCUCACACACAGGCUGUCUCUCACUCAGGCUGUCUCUCAC